This 425-nucleotide ribosomal RNA is filed under the name uncultured bacterium. RNAcentral describes it as "bacterial SSU rRNA". It matches the Rfam family "Bacterial small subunit ribosomal RNA", at positions 356 to 773 of the family's 1533-position model. The record is from RNAcentral.
GGGGAAUUUUGGACAAUGGGCGAAAGCCUGAUCCAGCCAUGCCGCGUGAGUGAAGAAGGCCUUCGGGUUGUAAAGCUCUUUCAGACGGAAAGAAAUUGCUCUGGUUAAUAACUGGAGUAGAUGACGGUACCGUAAGAAGAAGCACCGGCUAACUACGUGCCAGCAGCCGCGGUAAUACGUAGGGUGCGAGCGUUAAUCGGAAUUACUGGGCGUAAAGCGUGCGCAGGCGGUUGCAUAAGACAGAUGUGAAAUCCCCGGGCUCAACCUGGGAACUGCGUUUGUGACUGUGCGACUGGAGUACGGUAGAGGGGGGUGGAAUUCCUGGUGUAGCAGUGAAAUGCGUAGAUAUCAGGAGGAACAUCGAUGGCGAAGGCAGCCCCCUGGACCUGUACUGACGCUCAUGCACGAAAGCGUGGGGAGCAAAC